CCUACGGGGCGCAGCAGUGAGGAAUAUUGGUCAAUGGGCGGGAGCCUGAACCAGCCAAGCCGUGUGAAGGAAGAAGGCGCCAAGCGUCGUAAACUUCUUUUGUCGGGGAACAAAGGGCGCCACGUGUGGCGUUGUGAGUGUACCCGAAGAAAAAGCAUCGGCUAACUCCGUGCCAGCAGCCGCGGUAAUACGGAGGAUGCGAGCGUUAUCCGGAUUUACUGGGUGUAAAGGGAGCGUAGACGGCAGUGCAAGUCCGGAGUGAAAGCCAGGGGCUCAACCCUGGGACUGCUCUGGAAACUGAAAAG
This 305-nucleotide ribosomal RNA is filed under the name uncultured bacterium. Its description in RNAcentral is "bacterial SSU rRNA". It matches the Rfam family "Bacterial small subunit ribosomal RNA", at positions 338 to 640 of the family's 1533-position model. The record is from RNAcentral.